RNAcentral lists this transfer RNA (83 nucleotides) under Candidatus Diapherotrites archaeon CG08_land_8_20_14_0_20_30_16. Its description in RNAcentral is "tRNA-Ser". It matches the Rfam family "tRNA". Rfam says of the family: Transfer RNA (tRNA) molecules are approximately 80 nucleotides in length. Their secondary structure includes four short double-helical elements and three loops (D, anti-codon, and T loops). Lineage: Archaea; Nanobdellati; Candidatus Iainarchaeota. The record is from RNAcentral.
GCAGGGAUGGCAGAGCGGUCCAAUGCGCCCGCCUUGAGAGCGGGUCUCCUCUGGAGGCGAGGGUUCAAAUCCCUUUCCCUGCG